GCUCACCAUGUGCACUCUGCACUUGUCAGUCGCACUCCGAGAAACGGUGCAGACCACUCGGAGUUGCACAUCACAGUGACUGCACACUUUUUGUGCUGCAAAUACUACACUCCGGUUGUGUUUUUUUUUUCUUGUGGAGGUUUGUGCAAUCUGAAGGUUGGACUUGAGCUCGUUCAUUUUUUUUGGAGGGGGGGGGCUUUAGUGAGGAAGAGGAGGAGUAGAGUGAGCCUGAUGUGCAAGAGAAUGAUGUCGACAUCAACUGAAAAGUUGCCAUCUGAGUGCAAAAGCCCAGCAAGGGCGAGGAUGAGGGGCUUGUCCAUCGGCCUGCAGAUGGAAACAAGUGGGUGGUUGCAAGGCUGGAUGACUGAACUCAGAGACGACCCCCCCGGUGCAGCUCAUCAUCAUCAUCGCCGUGGGCUCUUGUCUUCCUCCUCCUGUGGCCCACACCUCCAUCCAGGGGUCCAAGCUCAGCACCGUGAACGCCUGAGCAGGAAGCUACAGUGAGUGGGCAGAGGAAGGAUGGGAAAGCUCCCUGAAGGCGAGAAGCACCUCUGCAUGCAGGAGAAAUCAAUACCAAGCAUGCUCGCCUUGGAGUGGGGCUUUCCUCUGGUUCUCUGCGGCCUCGGGGCUCGCAGGCCUCUAAAGGACGGGCCCUCUCAACUGGACCGGACCCCCUUCUCCACUUGUGUGGUUUUGCUGAAGGGGGUCCCCCAUCACCUCCCACCUCAAUACCCUGAAAGCUGAGACACAGCCAAGAGGGAUACUUCUUUUUCUUCAUCUUUUUUUCCAGAUUGACAUAUUCCCUGCCUUCUUUCAAUAGGACUUUUGACUUGUUUCGACAGUGCAACCUUUAGUUUUCCCUCCAUUCUUGCUUUGCUGUUGCUCAGGCGAGCUGAACAAAUGUCUGUGCAAACCAGAAACUCUUUCUGUUCCCCCUCAUCCCAGAGAAAUGGACAGAACGGCGAAGAAAGCAAGCUUCUUCGCUAUCUAAUGAUUGGGGACUCCUGGUUGGAAUGGACCCGUCGUCAUUAAUACAUUUCACUACUGAUUGUCUUCAAGAAACUGAUGUGAAGUUUUUGUGACUAAUAGCCAAUGUCGUUAAUUUCCACAUGAAGACUAGAAAUAAUAUUUUUCCACCAAUCAUACCAUGAGAUGUGGUGUGAUUGCAUAAAAUCUUUUAAUUGUCAACAUUGUGGGGUUUUCUCUUGUAUUGAUUAAUACACAUAGUAAUGCUUCAUUUUGUGCUGAUGUAUGUUUUUACAGCCUCUGUAAAUACAUGUACAUGUACAAUAAAGAUGACCGCUGACGUUAA
Long non-coding RNA from Dunckerocampus dactyliophorus (ringed pipefish), 1312 nucleotides. RefSeq lists it as uncharacterized. The record is from RefSeq and is a predicted model, not a curated record. Lineage: Eukaryota; Metazoa; Chordata; Actinopteri; Syngnathiformes; Syngnathidae. The transcript is spliced from 4 exons.